This 205-nucleotide long non-coding RNA is filed under the name Prunus persica (peach). RNAcentral describes it as "long non-coding RNA (PPER_LNC005013)". Lineage: Eukaryota; Viridiplantae; Streptophyta; Magnoliopsida; Rosales; Rosaceae. The record is from RNAcentral.
GAAUCCUACACUGUUUUUACUGUUAGAAAGCGAAUGAAAUUGCCAAUCAAACUCUACUCCAGAGAAUUGAUAAGCCAUCCCUUCACUAUGAAGUUCUCGGUGCGCCAGCCGGGAAACGUUGGAGCAGUCGAAUGAGGUUAUGGAAGAUCACUAUUAAUAUGUCCCAAUUUAUCUUUGUUGGAGAUAUACAUCUCGACAACUUGCG